AGAAGCCUUGAGCUCGUGAUUGGAGCUUUGUGGAGGGAGGAUCUUCAACCCUAGCUUACUUGGAGCCUUUUUUUGGAGCUCUUGUGAGGUUGGAUUAGAAGGCCUCUAACUCCUUUUUGGAGAUCGUGAGGGGUUUUCUUCGCAUUCGGGUACUAGGAGAGUAGCGGGCACCUUCGUCGGCGCAAACGAAGGGUUUCGAGAAGUCACGGUGGGUUUUACUUCAUGAAACAGAGCCCUCUACACCGGUGGAGGCACGGGAUCGCGGCAAGGG
This is a long non-coding RNA of Ananas comosus (pineapple), 271 nucleotides long. RefSeq lists it as uncharacterized. The record is from RefSeq and is a predicted model, not a curated record. Lineage: Eukaryota; Viridiplantae; Streptophyta; Magnoliopsida; Poales; Bromeliaceae. The transcript has 4 exons.